This 465-nucleotide ribosomal RNA is filed under the name Vreelandella stevensii. RNAcentral's name for it is "partial 16S ribosomal RNA". It matches the Rfam family "Bacterial small subunit ribosomal RNA", at positions 338 to 795 of the family's 1533-position model. Lineage: Bacteria; Pseudomonadati; Pseudomonadota; Gammaproteobacteria; Oceanospirillales; Halomonadaceae. The record is from RNAcentral.
CCUACGGGGGGCAGCAGUGGGGAAUAUUGGACAAUGGGGGGAACCCUGAUCCAGCCAUGCCGCGUGUGUGAAGAAGGCCCUCGGGUUGUAAAGCACUUUCAGUGAGGAAGAACGCCUGGUGGUUAAUACCCAUCAGGAAAGACAUCACUCACAGAAGAAGCACCGGCUAACUCCGUGCCAGCAGCCGCGGUAAUACAGAGGGUGCGAGCGUUAAUCGGAAUUACUGGGCGUAAAGCGCGCGUAGGUGGCUUGAUAAGCCGGUUGUGAAAGCCCCGGGCUCAACCUGGGAACGGCAUCCGGAACUGUCAAGCUAGAGUGCAGGAGAGGAAGGUAGAAUUCCCGGUGUAGCGGUGAAAUGCGUAGAGAUCGGGAGGAAUACCAGUGGCGAAGGCGGCCUUCUGGACUGACACUGACACUGAGGUGCGAAAGCGUGGGUAGCAAACAGGAUUAGAUACCCUAGUAGUC